GAUGAACGCUGGCGGCGUGCCUAAUACAUGCAAGUCGAGCGAACAGACUAGGAGCUUGCUCCUCUUACGUUAGCGGCGGACGGGUGAGUAACACGUGGAUAACCUACCUAUAAGACUGGGAUAACUUCGGGAAACCGGAGCUAAUACCGGAUAAUAUAUUUAACCGCAUGGUUCAAUAGUGAAAGACGGUUUUGCUUUCACUUAUAGAUGGAUCCGCGCCGCAUUAGCUAGUUGGUAAGGUAACGGCUUACCAAGGCAACGAUGAGUAGCCGACCUGAGAGGGUGAUAGGCCACAAUGGAACUGAGAAACGGUCCAGACUCCUACGGGAGGCAGCAGUAGGGAAUCUUCCGCAAAGGGCGAAAGCCUGACGGAGCAACGCAGCGUGAGUGAUGAAGGUCUUCGGAUCGUAAAACUCUGUUAUUAGGGAAGAACAAAUGUGUAAGUAACUAUGCAAGUCUUGACGGUACCUAAUCAGAAAGCCACGGCUAACUACGUG
RNAcentral lists this ribosomal RNA (497 nucleotides) under uncultured bacterium. RNAcentral's name for it is "partial 16S ribosomal RNA". It matches the Rfam family "Bacterial small subunit ribosomal RNA", at positions 28 to 507 of the family's 1533-position model. The record is from RNAcentral.